This 651-nucleotide ribosomal RNA is filed under the name uncultured Acidobacteriota bacterium. RNAcentral describes it as "SSU rRNA". It matches the Rfam family "Bacterial small subunit ribosomal RNA", at positions 246 to 915 of the family's 1533-position model. The record is from RNAcentral. Lineage: Bacteria; Pseudomonadati; Acidobacteriota.
UAGUUGGUAGGGUAAGAGCCUACCAAGGCAGAGAUCGGUAGCCGGCCUGAGAGGGCACACGGCCACACUGGCACUGAAACACGGGCCAGACUCCUACGGGAGGCAGCAGUGGGGAAUCUUGCACAAUGGGGGCAACCCUGAUGCAGCGACGCCGCGUGAGCGAUGAAGCCCUUCGGGGUGUAAAGCUCUUUCGGCAGGGAAGAUGAUGACGGUACCUGCAGAAGCAGCUGCGGCUAACUACGUGCCAGCAGCCGCGGUAAUACGUAGGCAGCGAGCGUUGUUCGGAGUUACUGGGCGUAAAGGGUGUGUAGGCGGUUCUUUAAGUUUGGUGUGAAAUCUCCCGGCUCAACCGGGAGGGUGCGCCGAAUACUGAGGGACUAGAGUACGGGAGAGGAAAGUGGAAUUCCUGGUGUAGCGGUGAAAUGCGUAGAUAUCAGGAGGAACACCGGUGGUGUAGACGGCUUUCUGGACCGUAACUGACGCUGAGACACGAAAGCGUGGGUAGCAAACAGGAUUAGAUACCCUGGUAGUCCACGCCCUAAACGAUGCAUAUUUGGUGUGGGCAGUUCAUUCUGUCUGUGCCGGAGCUAACGCGUUAAAUAUGCCGCCUGGGGAGUACAGUCGCAAGGCUGAAACUCAAAGGAAUUGACG